Molecule: ribosomal RNA, 497 nt
Filed under: uncultured bacterium
Lineage: Bacteria
Description: partial 16S ribosomal RNA
Rfam family: Bacterial small subunit ribosomal RNA
Source: RNAcentral
GAUGAACGCUGGCGGCGUGCCUAAUACAUGCAAGUCGAGCGAACAGACGAGGAGUUUGCUCCUCUGACGUUAGCGGCGGACGGGUGAGUAACACGUGGAUAACCUACCUAUAAGACUGGGAUAACUUCGGGAAACCGGAGCUAAUACCGGAUAAUAUAUUGAACCGCAUUGUUCAAUAGUGAAAGACGGUUUUGCUGUCACUUAUAGAUGGAUCCGCGCCGCAUUAGCUAGUUGGUAAGGUAACGGCUUACCAAGGCAACGAUUCGUAGCCGACCUGAGGGGGUGAUCGGCCACACUGGACCUGAGACACGGUCCAGACUCCUACGGGAGGCAGCAGUAGGGAAUCUUCCGCAUUGAGCGAAGGCCUGACGGAGCAACGCCGCGUGAGUGAUGAAGGUCUUCGGAUCGUAAGACUCUGUUAUUAGGGAAGAACAAAUGUGUAAGUAACUAUGCACGUCUUGACGGUACCUAAUCAGAAAGCCACGGCUAACUACGUG